RNAcentral lists this ribosomal RNA (352 nucleotides) under uncultured bacterium. RNAcentral's name for it is "bacterial SSU rRNA". It matches the Rfam family "Bacterial small subunit ribosomal RNA", at positions 527 to 881 of the family's 1533-position model. The record is from RNAcentral.
GGAGGAUCCGAGCGUUAUCCGGAUUUAUUGGGUUUAAAGGGAGCGUAGAUGGAUGUUUAAGUCAGUUGUGAAAGUUUGCGGCUCAACCGUAAAAUUGCAGUUGAUACUGGAUAUCUUGAGUGCAGUUGAGGCAGGCGGAAUUCGUGGUGUAGCGGUGAAAUGCUUAGAUAUCACGAAGAACUCCGAUUGCGAAGGCAGCCUGCUAAGCUGCAACUGACAUUGAGGCUCGAAAGUGUGGGUAUCAAACAGGAUUAGAUACCCUGGUAGUCCACACAGUAAACGAUGAAUACUCGCUGUUUGCGAUAUACAGUAAGCGGCCAAGCGAAAGCAUUAAGUAUUCCACCUGGGGAGU